GCAAGUCGAGCGCUCUCUUCGGAGGGAGCGGCGGACGGGUUAGUAACGCGUGGGAACGUGCCCUUCUCUACGGAAUAGCCAUUGGAAACGAUGAGUAAUACCGUAUACGCCCUUCGGGGGAAAGAUUUAUCGGUUAAGGAUUGGCCCGCGUUAGAUUAGAUAGUUGGUGGGGUAAUGGCCUACCAAGUCUACGAUCUAUAGCUGGUUUGAGAGGAUGAUC
RNAcentral lists this ribosomal RNA (220 nucleotides) under uncultured bacterium. RNAcentral describes it as "partial 16S ribosomal RNA". It matches the Rfam family "Bacterial small subunit ribosomal RNA", at positions 57 to 305 of the family's 1533-position model. The record is from RNAcentral.